AUCAUAUAGUGAGUGGAGGAUUUCUAUUUUCUCCACUCACACAUUUUCACAUUUCAUCUCUUUCUUCCUCACCACAAAACCCUAGCCUCUAUGGAUGAAGCUUGAAACUUUAGGCAUUGACCUUGAUCUUUGAGACCCUUCCACUUACUUUAGACCAUAAAGCUUGGAAUACUUUUUGUUUCACUCAUCCUCCUCUUCAAAACCCUUAAAGGAUUUAGCCUAACUCCUAGUUUUGCUUUGGUAUCUAGGGAUUCAAUUCUCUAGUGAGGUAACAAGCUGAAAUAUCUGUCAUGCAGACCAAAAAUUUGGGGAGAUUUCACUUCGGUGGUAAUUGGGAUUUUCAUUCCAAUUGAGGUCACUAGAGUUUGGCUCUAAUACGGGAAUGUGAGUCCUCUAAGUCAGAAGUUCGCGCGUUGGGUAGGCUGCCUGGGGGUACAGGAUACAAGAUUGGAGAUUACAAUUGCUUGGGUGAUUUGCUGAGUUGAGCUUCUUUAGAAGCAUUCUUGUUCACAUGCAAGUGUUAGCAUGUUCAUGAUUUGUCUAUGAAAUAUAAUUUUUCUAACUUGGAGGUCUGACAUGUCAAAUGUUGUAAAUAAGUUGUAAUAAGGCCAUGGGCCAUUGUAGCAUGUUUAAAAUACCAUUUUACACUUGUGUGUAUGUUCACAUCAUCACACAAUAGCAUAUAA
This is a long non-coding RNA of Cornus florida, 686 nucleotides long. RefSeq lists it as uncharacterized. Lineage: Eukaryota; Viridiplantae; Streptophyta; Magnoliopsida; Cornales; Cornaceae. The transcript is spliced from 4 exons. The record is from RefSeq and is a predicted model, not a curated record.